UGGGGAAUAUUGCACAAUGGGCGCAAGCCUGAUGCAGCCAUGCCGCGUGUGUGAAGAAGGCCUUCGGGUUGUAAAGCACUUUCAGCGAGGAGGAAGGUGGUGAGCUUAAUACGCUCAUCAAUUGACGUUACUCGCAGAAGAAGCACCGGCUAACUCCGUGCCAGCAGCCGCGGUAAUACGGAGGGUGCAAGCGUUAAUCGGAAUUACUGGGCGUAAAGCGCACGCAGGCGGUUUGUUAAGUCAGAUGUGAAAUCCCCGGGCUCAACCUGGGAACUGCAUUUGAAACUGGCAAGCUAGAGUCUCGUAGAGGGGGGUAGAAUUCCAGGUGUAGCGGUGAAAUGCGUAGAGAUCUGGAGGAAUACCGGUGGCGAAGGCGGCCCCCUGGACGAAGACUGACGCUCAGGUGCGAAAGCGUGGGGCAGCAAACAGGAUUAGAUACCCUGGUAGUCCACGCUGUAAAACGAUGUCGAUUUUGGAGGUUGUGCCCUUGAGGCGUGGCUUCCGGAGCUAACGCGUUAAAGUCGACCGCCUGGGGAGU
RNAcentral lists this ribosomal RNA (538 nucleotides) under uncultured bacterium. RNAcentral's name for it is "partial 16S ribosomal RNA". It matches the Rfam family "Bacterial small subunit ribosomal RNA", at positions 355 to 881 of the family's 1533-position model. The record is from RNAcentral.